GUGUGCGUGGCAUAGUGGUUUGAGUGCUGGAUUGGGACUCUGGAGAGCUGGAUUCAAUUCCCAACUUGGCCA
Non-coding RNA from Phrynosoma platyrhinos (Desert horned lizard), 72 nucleotides. Lineage: Eukaryota; Metazoa; Chordata; Lepidosauria; Squamata; Phrynosomatidae. The record is from the annotation of a GenBank genome assembly.